RNAcentral lists this transfer RNA (78 nucleotides) under Spruceanthus planifolius. RNAcentral describes it as "tRNA-Leu". It matches the Rfam family "tRNA". Rfam says of the family: Transfer RNA (tRNA) molecules are approximately 80 nucleotides in length. Lineage: Eukaryota; Viridiplantae; Streptophyta; Jungermanniopsida; Porellales; Lejeuneaceae. The record is from RNAcentral.
GCCGCUAUGGUGAAAUUGGUAGACACGUUGCUCUUAGGAAGCAAUGCUAACGUAUCUCGGUUCGAAUCCGAGUAGCGG